CCGUAGUACUCGUCAGCCGCCUAAACAUACCUACUGCGUUGGAGCCUCCGUUGAGCGACGUGCGCGUACUGCUUUCACAAUGAAGCGAGUGGCGAAAUGGUGAGUAACACGUGGGGAAUCUGCCCAGAAGCAGGGGAUAACACUUGGAAACAGGUGCUAAUACCGUAUAACAACAAAAUCCGCAUGGAUUUUGUUUGAAAGGUGGCUUCGGCUAUCACUUCUGGAUGAUCCCGCGGCGUAUUAUUUAGUUGGUGAGGUAAAGGCCCACCAAGACCAUGAUACGUAGCCGACCUGAGAGGGUAAUCGGCCACAUUGGGACUGAGACACGGCCCAAACUCCUACGGGAGGCAGCAAUAGGGAAUCUUCCACAAUGGACGAAAGUCUGAUGGAGCAAUGCCGCGUGAGUGAAGAAGGGUUUCGGCUCGUAAAACUCUGUUGUUAAAGAAGAACACCUUUGAGAGUAACUGUUCAAGGGUUGACGGUAUUUAACCAGAAAGCCACGGCUAACUACGUGCCAGCAGCCGCGGUAAUACGUAGGUGGCAAGCGUUGUCCGGAUUUAUUGGGCGUAAAGCGAGCGCAGGCGGUUUUUUAAGUCUGAUGUGAAAGCCUUCGGCUUAACCGGAGAAGUGCAUCGGAAACUGGGAGACUUGAGUGCAGAAGAGGACAGUGGAACUCCAUGUGUAGCGGUGGAAUGCGUAGAUAUAUGGGAAGA
RNAcentral lists this ribosomal RNA (713 nucleotides) under Levilactobacillus brevis. Its description in RNAcentral is "bacterial SSU rRNA". It matches the Rfam family "Bacterial small subunit ribosomal RNA", at positions 1 to 706 of the family's 1533-position model. The record is from RNAcentral. Lineage: Bacteria; Bacillati; Bacillota; Bacilli; Lactobacillales; Lactobacillaceae.